AAAAAAAAGCCUGCCUCUCCCCCUUGGUAGCAAGGUUUGGUAGACUAAGUUACAACCUGGGGCUGUAAUUUGCCCUUUUGCUGAAGCUGUGCCACAUGCAGAGAAAACGGAUUCAUUAGGCUAGAGUGUAAAACUGUGGUUAAAUUACUUGUCCAGCAGAGGGAACUCUUAGCUUCUGGUUGCUAUAACAAGGUCUCUUUCAGUACAGAAAUCCAGUGGCAUUUUAGACGAAAUGAAUAAACAGCCUUGAGCAUCGGUUCUCUGUAGCCGGUCAAGAUCACCUGAGACCUAACUUUAGAUGUAGAAAUUCGGUGUCUUAUGUCUGAGUAUGUCACCCUGGUCUUCUUUACAGAGCAAGUUAAUUAGUUUUCUACUAUGGCAUGAGAUGCGUUUCCCACUAAAGAUGUCCAUGUUUCUUCAAUACUUAUGAAGUGAGCCUAGGGUGACUAACUCAGACACAGACAUUUCACAGGUUCACACAUUAGGCCAGACAAAUUUUAUUCCUGGUGACCAUAGUUGCCAAUAUAACAUUGGUUUUAGGAUCAGAAGCCUGCAGCUAGCUAGGGACCCUUUGCCUGUUUCUUUCCUUCAGUUGCUGCAGAGCUGCCCUUGAGGACACACUAAAUAAAUGAAUAUGAGCAUACACUAAAUAACUGAAUAUAAGCCUAAUGCCCAUUAAGCUCUCAAUUAACUGAAGAAAAAAACCCACCUUUGUAAAAAGGCUUUCCCUUUCUCUUACAUUUUCUAGAUAUAGCUUACUUGCUAAUUAGAUAUACUCCUGUAAUUAAAAUCAGUUUAUUUCUGCAAUUGAUUCUCCAUACAUUAAGGUUGCUAUGGCAAGUGGUUGCUGUAUGUUAUGCUUUCUGCAGAAUAUAUAACCAACUAAUCAUGCCCUGGAGUGUCUCUGCACACUUUCCUGCUUCCUUACAGUCUGCCAGGGCAGGAAGGAAACCCUGCAAUGGUAGUUGUAGGAUGUAUGUGCAAGCAGUUAUUGUGUGUAUACUUGUUAUCUAGCCUAGGGCUGGUGGAAUGGAUGAGUGAGUGUUUUGUUGCUGUUGUCACUGUAUAUUGCUUAUCAGUUUUAUGUCUCCCAAAACACUUGGUUAUUAAAGAAGUAGCCAGGUUUUACAGACCCAGCCAUUCUGAAAGGUGAAAUGGCUUUGUGGAGUUCUUGCGAGAGGAGAGGCCUGACCAGUACUGCUAUGCCAUGGCAUAUCGUGCCAUGUCACUGGCAGAUCAGAUGGAGAAAGGUGCAAGACCUAAUCCUCAGGCUUCCUUGAAAGCUGAAACUCUAAUAUAAUCACCUGACUGUUGGAACAGGAGCUUUAAGAAAUUUCUUGUAACAAACCCCCGUGAAAUUGGUAACAUCUGUCAGCCCGCUCAACAAGAAUUGCAUCUCCUGGUUGCUGCUCAAGAAAAAAUAGCACCUGAGUUAGGGAAUAAUGGAGUGCUACAUACUGAAGAAUAAGAAUCAGUACAUGCUCCAGAAGAGAACUAAGCACCCCCAAAUCCCAUACAUUUCAUUUACUUAACCCUUCUAACAGCCCUUCUCAUACUUUCUGGGACUCAAAGAUUUAAAUCUCUCUGAUUUUCACCUAUAUUCCCCGAAUGUUACUCCAUAAAAAGAGCGUAGCCCUUCAGCUCUUCUUUAGUUUAUACACACCCAAGCUGGCUAAACGUGCUUGGUUCCUCUUUAUGUGUUCAGGAAAAACAGAAACAUCCCUUCACCUCUGCUUUGUUCCUCUGAGUCUGUAGAGACUCUAGGGUCCGUUAUCAACAAUGCAAGGACACAGAUUUUAUCUAGUAGCUGGAGAAAAGUAGGAGGAUCUUGCUCACCUCAUGCAUGACUAGCUGCAGUCUAAGUUGAGAUGUGUUUCAUGUAUAUUAUAUCAAAUGUCAGGGGUUUGCAAUGAAACAACUGGAAAAUAUUAUUAAAGGUUAACAGUCUGAAAAUUGCUAGUAGACUCUGAAUAUAAGUUACAAUGCAUUAGAAGCAAAUCUGUAGCAUAAGUAGUCCCAAAGUGCUUCUUAUUUAUCUUUAGAAACUCAGUGUUAACAAACACCUGAUCUGAAUUUUGUGUGUUAUGAUAGCAACUGCUGCUAUCAUGGGAAACAUUACAAAAAACCUAAUUUUACUCAAAGAGCUCCUUUAUAUGAGAAAGUGUGUAUUUUUUCCAGCAAUUUUUGCUAAAAUAUGCAAAAUAAGAUAGCAAUCUUAAUGACUACAUCCCUAUUUAAUGUGUUAGCAUAAAAAAAAACUUUGCAUGUUUCUGUUUGCAGAAAAACAAACUGUUUUCCAUUUUCCUCUUUUUUUUUUUUCCAGAAGAAACUGAAAACAGCUGUAGAAGUUCAGUACCAUUAUCCUUUUAGAUAGAAAUUUUAGGGGGUGUUAUGAACUAUUGGUAGGAAAAAUGCCAUUGCUAAUGGGUCAUGUACCUACAACUACAGGAUUACAAAGCAAAUGGAUUCUUGUUUUCAGCUGCUCUAAGCAGAGUAUUAAGACAAUUCUGUUGUACAUAAAAUGAAUAAUAAGCUUCAAGUAACUGACGUUUACUAGCACGUCAGCUUCAUCAUUUUUUACAGUCAUAGCUGAAAUUGCAUUUGCUAAAUUGCUCUCAUGAAGCAGGAUUUUCGUUCUGAUAGAUUCCCUACUUCUCAAAGUAUAAUUCAUCUUCCUGUAAAAGCACUGAUGCUAAUCUUUAGCCUGUGUUAAGAUGACUAGAUCUUCCAGUUUUAAAUAUAAGGUCCUCUAUCUUAAUACUCUGCAGGGAUGCCCAUUUGACCCCAUUCCACUUCUUGUUUCAUUUGCUCUGCAGCGCAUGAUCACUGUGUGAAGGGAAUAGCACAUGGUCAAAGGGCUCUGUUCAGAGGUGACUUACACACUACCUGGUGCCAGAUAUAAUGUAGAUUGCACUAAAAAAAUCAAUAUAAUUCUGCUUUGUAACUUAUAUGGCACCAUUAUUUUGUGAAGUAGGUUACUCAUUGUAGCAGAGAGCAAUCUUUUUGCACCAGGACCUUUAAACAAAUUACGGAAGCAGAGAAAGAGUAUACUGUGGAUUUGGUCUUGCCCAGAAGAGGUGCCAAAAUCCUUCAUGUUAGAAACAUGUAAAUGAAAAAUAAUCAACAGGAGAGGAAGAUAAAUAGGAGAACCUGCCUUUCCUUUAACAGGCACUGAACUGUGUUUUGUCUAAUAAAAGGCAUAAGACCAUAGGGCAGGGAGGAGGCCAUUUUUUUUAUCAGUAGGCUAUGUUGUGAAAGGCAAAACUUGAAGCACGAGCAAACAGAAUUGCACCAACAGCAAUGAAGGGAGGUAGCACAUGAGGAUGGCAGAUGCUAUGCUUUCUUCACAGCCUUGAAGAAGGCUGUCUGUUUUGUCAUUAUUUCUAGCCUAGGAUUUUGCAAGCUACUGCUCCAACUGGGUAUUUUCUCUUACAGCCCCCAGAAUCUCCUUGGUAAUCGCAACUGGCAUCCUUGUUCACUGCCAGAGUACAUGCUAGCUCUUUCACUUGGUACUUUCAGGUACUCUCUUAACAUCCUCUGGUUAGUGUUUCUGCUGGCACUUGAGAUUCCUUCUAGUGAUGAGCCUUUUCAGCUGUUAGUGUUCAGAUACUGAAGUCAGUUAACUUAUGGGGAGAAGAAAUAGCUUCCCUGAGCUUGCUUGUCCCAGCUGUGGUAGCUCAUAAUUCACUCAGGCAGGCAGCUGGCACCAAUGCUGUGUUCAGUGUUGAGGUCUUUGGUGUGAUGAAGAUAACUGUAUAUGCCGCACCCUGGAAACUGGGCUGCAGCCAGCACAGUGGUAUCUGGAGGGGAAUGAGGGAUCGCAAUUAUGGAGAUUAAUAGGGGCAAGAAUGACUGGCAAUAGAAGAAAGUCUUUCUGUUGACUUACUGUUUGCAUGGUUGGUCUAAACUGGGGAACACCUUUGUAGACAAAAAAAAACCCAGGGCUUUGGGUCAUGACAAGAUAUAGUCGUUGUUUGAAGAGGUAUCCCUGUAGGUAAAGCUUUUUGUUUGAGGCAGAUCUACUUCACAGCAAGAAGUUGCACUGUGCUCAGAUUUUUUUUUUUUUUUUUUUUUUUAAUCUCAGACAAAAUUUGUUCUCCUUGGAUUAACAUGUCCAAGGCCUAGUUGCCAUUCCGGAGUGAUGAAUGGCAGAGAUAAACUCAUGCCCUGAAAUUUCUGGGCUAUUUGGAUGGGUACAUCUAAUGCCUGAAAGUACAAGUUCGUUUUGGAACUCUAUAGUGCUCUAGUAGUUGGGAGGGAAAUGAUAAAAGGCCUUGAGAAAUGUCCUUCUAUUGGAGUGCAUGCUACCUGGCUAUGGUGUAGAAGGGUUACCAUCACCCCACAGUAUCUCACAGAGAAGAGCAGUGUCUCGGAGAGCACAGUGCUAACCAUUAGUAACUGUUGCCUUUUCAUUAUCAACCGCUGUGCUAUUGCAUUAUUGAUUAAUGCUGUUGAAAGCCAUUCCUGCUGGUCCCUUAUGUUCUUACUGAAAACUACUCAACAUAUCAGCCACAUCUAAUUGAAUAGCAAGAGGAAUGAGUGAAAUGUCAUUCAUAAGCACUCCCUCCCUUUAUAGUCAUUGGCAAAAGCAUGUAUGUCACUGAAUAUUGAAACCAUCCUGAAGGCAUCAAAUUUCUAAAUGUAAUGCUAUUUUUUUUAUACUUUACUCAACUGUGCUAGAUAUGCUGCUGCUACUAAUGUUCUGGAGAUUCACAUGCUUCACUUAUUGUAGGGACUAAAAGUAUUCUGUACAUCUUAGUUAAGCAUUACCAUCUCAGUAUUAGCAUCUCAGAAUGAUUGGUAAAUAUUAUUCUAAUUAUUUACUAAAUCUGUAAGUUGAAUUGCAUACACAUUCAGUGAAAUAGCAGAAUUUCUUUUGAAGACAGUGGUGGAACUGUAAAUAAAAGUUAGCUAAUUUUUAAAUAUUGGCAUUACAAUGACACCAGAAGGCAUCAGUCAAUAUUAAGGCCUCAUUAUGCUAAACUCUCUACAUAAGCAUGUGAAGAGAGACAAAAAGUCUUGGCUACAAGGAAUUUGCACAGUGAAUAGCCAAGAGAAAGUGCAAAAGGAAGAAGGUAUUAAUGUCUCCAUUUAAUGCCCUUAAUAACAUACUUUAACUUUUGGUCAGCCCUGAAGUGGUCAGGCAGUUGACUAGCUGAUCACUGUAGGUCCCUUCCCACUGAAAAUAUACUAUUUUACAGACAGAAUGCAAAGAAAAGUGAUUUGCCUAAGGCUACUCUGUGCCACCAGUAGAAAGCAAAUUUGGAUUUCUGAACUAUAUUCUAGGCAAUUUCUCAUAGUUUAUUUUACAACACCUUUUUGGACCUUGAGGAAGGUUCCCCUGCUUCCCCCUCAGCAUGUAAUUUGAUAUAGAGCAUGUAUGAGCAUUCCCCAUCUUGCCCCGUCUCUUCCCCUUUCAGAGACUCCAGUACUUUGCUAACCACCUUCAUUCUCUUUCAGCCUCAGGGGGAGGAGUUCCAGAGUGGGAUAUGGACUGCAGUAUGCCACAUGUGAGGUCUUUACCUUUUUUCCCUCCACUUGGUUACCAAGGAAUGUAAAGCAAGCUAUCACUGUGUGUCACAUGCAAGCAAGGUCUAAGAGCUCUAGAGCAGCUGAGAACAUGGAUACAGCAUCUUAAGUUGUCAAGAUGACACUAUACUGGCAGAGGAGUCUGUAAGGGGCAGAGGCUUCCAUUUCCUGCUGAGUUUUGUCAGGAUCCAGGUCUGCUGUGUUAUACAGAGAGAAAGUGUUGUCUGCAAGAUGGGAGUAUGUCUCUGUAGGACCUCACAGACUGAGGGGAGACACUGCCUGGGAGCACAGGACACUUUAUGGGUUGCAGGGGAACAGCAUUUUGGAAUUGUGCAAAACUUGUAAUAGGAUGUUUAGGGGAGGAAGCACAGCAGAGAAAGGGAGGGAUAGAGGUGGUCUGGGGAGGAAAAAUCUUGGGAAAACAGAGGGAUAAGGGGCUAAAAGGGGGCAGUCACAUGUAAACAGGUGGCUAGUCAGUAGGCUUGUCUGGCCCUGCCCUGCACUUGAUCAGCACAGUCUGUCCUGUGUUCUCAUUAAACUGCAUUUUUAUUUUCCUGGG
Long non-coding RNA from Aquila chrysaetos chrysaetos, 6088 nucleotides. RefSeq lists it as uncharacterized. The transcript has 2 exons. The record is from RefSeq and is a predicted model, not a curated record. Lineage: Eukaryota; Metazoa; Chordata; Aves; Accipitriformes; Accipitridae.